UUAUCAGAUAGUUAUAAUUUUUGCAUAUUUGAUACAGGUUUCAGGUUCGAAUUUUUGAAAUAAAAAAGCUUUUAAUAGGGAACAUCAUAUCUUUUUAUUCGAUUUAUUUGGUGCAAAUUUAAAUUAGUUUAGUUAAUGAAUUAUAAAUACAGAAUGAUUAAAUAAAAAACUCAAUGAGGGGACUGAUAUGGGGUGGAGGGGAUAACAAAGUCAAAAGGGAAAUAGUGGGUUUGAUGAUCAGUUGAUUACUUUAUGACCUCGAGAGUGCCAACCUCUCUCCUCCAUAUAUAGUGUAUAUUAAAAUUUGGGAAAAGGUCUUUGGAUUCUUAUGAUAUGAAUGAUUUAUAUUUUCAAAGGCUUUCCUUUUCUCUAUGAUUAUAAUAUAAAAUGUGUAGUGGGCAUUUGACAAAUUUUAAAGUGUCGUCAUUAUUCAUUAAAUAAGAAGAUUGUUUCUAGAUGGAGUAUAUGGGUCUCAUGUGGCUAGGGUUUGUGAAGACUUGUGACAUGAGCCUUCCCUAGAUGAUAACUUGGUCAAUUGGUCUUUGUUUUUCUAGCCUUUUGUCUGGUCAAAACGUGAGAGCUUCCUUUUUGAUAGUAUUUGGGAUCCUAUGCAACAGUUUUGGAAUUAUUUAGGACUUUUGAUAUUUAGAUUUUUUAAAAUUAUCUGACAUAUGAAAGCAACUAAUUCGACUAAUAUAAAAUGUAGAUUCAUGUUGAGUAAGUCCACUGAAGGAGUAAAGCAUUUUGUUGAAAUGUUGUCUAUUCUCAUGGAUCUAAUCAGAGAUCUCAUAUAAAAGCGUGAAUAUUGAUCUCAAGAAUCACACCACACUCCUCGAUCAGUAGUACUUUGAUCCAGAUUUCUACAAGUACUACUACCUCUCUUACUAUAACUCUCUUCUUUCUUUGAUACGAAUUAAAGAAAGCAAGCUUGCGAGAAUUGUACAUCAUACAAAAGAGGGGAACAUAGCCGCUAAGUAAGUUAUCGGGAAGGAGUUAGUGCAAGUUCUGUUUAAUGCAUUUUAGUCCUUAAUUAGUAUUUAUUAAUUCCUAGUACUUAUAAUUAUACAUUAGCCCCUCAAUAUUUCUCUUAUCUUAUUCCGAGAAGCUCCAGAAGUUAGUUAUACUCUGACAAGGGAGAAUAUCUUGGUAGAGUUGACACUUCUUUUGUACACUGUAAUCAUUCCAUUCUGAAUUUUAUCAAUCAAAUUAUUACCCUGGUUAUCUCUUAGCGUAGGUUCGCAGUUGUUGAUAUAAUCUUCUUCCUGAUACAAAUUUGUGCAUCUACAACAGUGGUAUCAGUGCUCUUUCUUGGCUAUGCAAAUUUAGGGUUUCGAAAUGACACAAAUGAUGAAUCUACUGCAAAGAAUAUCCAUGUAGAGGACGAACUUCACCAUCAGCCAAAAUCAACUCGAGGCGAAUCAUGAACAGGCUUUUCAAAAUCUAUAUCAAGCUCUACGAAGACUUUAAAAAGCUGUCAAUGGAGGAUAACAACCAGGGAUAAAGAUUUGGCAAUUAGUGGAGGUGAGAUGUAUUCUCCUUCUGAUAGGUCAUUCAAAUUUGUAGAUCUAGCUACCUCCUUUCCUAUAACACAUAAAGCUCAAGUUUCUGUUAACAACCAUGACCUUAAUCCACAAGGCUAAGUCAGUACUCCAAUACAAAACCUUCAGUCACCUGUGUACAAAAUUUUCAAAACCCUCGGGUCCAAGGUACUUAAAUCCAAAUUAAACAAACCCGGUGCAAACCUCCAUGUCUCAGCCAUACAAUUUCCAUAUACCAUAUAUUCAGGGCAUGCCGUUACAAAAUGUCCAAUUUUAUCCACAGGUCUUACCCUUCGGUAUGCAACCCCUCACAAAUCCAAUAUAUUCAGAAUAUCCAAUAUUCUUCUGUCUAGUACACCCAACAUAAUCACGUUCCUCCAUCUUUAUCCCAUCAAGCCCUUUACACACCAUCCCAUAUACCUAACUAGAAUCCACCAGCUAAUCCAUAGUUCCAUACUCCAAAGAAUAUCAGUAAUAUCUCAUUUUCAUCCCCAUCAUUUACCAAGCAUAUCGAGAUUGAGUUUCUCAAAUUUAAUGGUGAGGACUAAAGAACAUGGUUGUACAAGGUAGAUCAUUUUUCUCUGUAGAAGAUAUGCCUAUCCACCAGAGAUCGAAGCUGAUAGCACUCAACUUUGCAGGAGAUGCAUCAUAAUGGAACUAAGGGU
This is a long non-coding RNA of Lycium ferocissimum, 2203 nucleotides long. RefSeq lists it as uncharacterized. The record is from RefSeq and is a predicted model, not a curated record. NCBI's taxonomy places the organism in Eukaryota, Viridiplantae, Streptophyta, Magnoliopsida, Solanales, Solanaceae. The transcript has 3 exons.